This 617-nucleotide long non-coding RNA is filed under the name Nicotiana benthamiana. RNAcentral describes it as "long non-coding RNA (NBEN_LNC039422)". Lineage: Eukaryota; Viridiplantae; Streptophyta; Magnoliopsida; Solanales; Solanaceae. The record is from RNAcentral.
UGCUAUAUUUUCCAAAUAAGAAAAACUCCAAGAAAAUGCCUAGGAAGAAGAAGAAGAAAAAUACAGUAAGGUUACCAAGCAAUGUUCUACUAACUACACUGAAGUAGAAAUCGCAGAUCUGAAAUUUCAAAAUUUCCCAAGUUAAGAUAAAUACAGUGAGUUUACCAAGCACUGUUCUUUCUGUUUUUGUCAGGGAAAUGAAGGAAGUGAAAAGAUAGGAGUAAUAGGAAAAAGAUUCAAAGAAGUGAUGAUUUGGAAAUAUAAAUUAAUGACCACGCUCGUCAAACACGCGCUUUAACCACGCUCUAUUGGAUGUUGUGGGACCCAAAGUUAGUGAAUUAUACCUCUCAAAGUUACCGAACAAAGCACUGAAUUGGAUGGCUUUCACUUCUUUUCUAGUCCAAUGAUGGUGACUACUCUACUUCUAUCUGUUCUUUGUUUUUGUUCUUUUCUAGAGUACUUUUUUUCUUUGUGCUUGUAAGUCAGUCUAAAAUGAAAGUCAAUGAGUAAAAAAUUAGGAAGAGGUGAUUAGUCGAGACCUUCAUCUUACCGAGAAUAUAACACUCGGUAAUUACGAUAAUUUAAUAGACAUACUUUUCUAAGUUAUGUUAGUUGGA